Pangasianodon hypophthalmus (striped catfish) is the source of this 556-nucleotide long non-coding RNA. RefSeq lists it as uncharacterized. The record is from RefSeq and is a predicted model, not a curated record. The transcript is spliced from 3 exons. Lineage: Eukaryota; Metazoa; Chordata; Actinopteri; Siluriformes; Pangasiidae.
CAGUAGACGAGGACGAAGCCAAACCUUUGACAGCCCAAAGCUGUGUGGAAAAAGUUUCCUCAGGCGAAAAAGUUCCGACAGAAGGAGAAGCGUCGGGUGACACCACAAAACCGGGUUAAAGUUGCUGUUAUCUCCGUCCAUUUCUCCUCCCCUCCUCCUCCCCUUCACUCUCUUUCACUAAACAGGAGGUGCUUUCACUGAACGAGACAUGAGAAACAGAAAGUAGCACAACGAAAGUGCCAAGGACACCAGACCCGAAGAAGCUUUUGAACGUGACUUCCAGGCUGUCCUUUAACCCAGUGCAGGAAUCACUCAGCAACUUCAGUCAGAUGAGAACCUGCAUGUCCAAAUUCCUCCUUCUCAGUCUUUGGAGUCUUUGAUCCACUAGGGGGCAGCACUGCCAUUUAGCAGCGAUUUAGCAGCGAUUCAGCACACUGAACUCUGGUGGCCUGUACCGACUUCCUCUCUCCCCAGCCUGUGUUCCCUCUCCUCUGUCUGGUCCCCUUCAGGCCCUGCUGGAGCCGCGGGCAUCCUUCACCCUGAACGGGGAACAGGA